This 253-nucleotide ribosomal RNA is filed under the name uncultured bacterium. Its description in RNAcentral is "partial 16S ribosomal RNA". It matches the Rfam family "Bacterial small subunit ribosomal RNA", at positions 524 to 776 of the family's 1533-position model. The record is from RNAcentral.
UACAGAGGUGGCAAGCGUUGUUCGGAAUUACUGGGCGUAAAGGGCGCGUAGGUGGCUCUCUAAGUCAGACGUGAAAUCCCCGGGCUUAACUCGGGAACUGCGUCUGAUACUGGAAAGCUUGAGUUCGGGAGAGGAAUGUGGAAUUCCAGGUGUAGCGGUGAAAUGCGUAGAUAUCUGGAGGAACACCGGUGGCGAAGGCGGCAUUCUGGACCGAAACUGACGCUGAGGCGCGAAAGCCAGGGGAGCAAACGGG